CAUUGUUGUAAUGCUUGCACAUCCAUGUUAGGGACCACCUUCACAGCCACAGCCAUGGCCACAACCUCCUGUUUCUAAGCUUUUCCUUUCACUUUGGAUAUACUCUCAUUACCAUCUUACCCUUUGGUAAAAUCUUCACUACAGAUUUCAUGAAGUUCGAGCAUGUCUACUAUACUGCCUUCAUUUAGCUCUCAUCUGUUUACAUAUUCCAUUUAUAUGACAACUUUUUAUACCUAAAUCAAUGGUGUCUAUUUGUAACCUUUCCACUCUGCCUAUUAGCUAUCCUAUCCCAAAGAGUUAUACUUACACACAAACAUGCCUACAGACAGGAGAGUCGCAUGAUUGUCAUCUCCAACUACGGACUUACACUUUCAAAUCAUCAUGAUGAAACUGAGAAUGAGAAAAGACCAGGACUGUGGAUCACAGAGGCAGUGGGAAAGGUAGAAGCAGAUCAUGGUUUCACCAUAGCUGUUCCAUUAUCUCUGCAUCAUAGAUCAUUUUAUAUGGCCGGAUUGACUUUUCACAAAACAGGACCCAGGACAAGAAAGAUCUACUAAGCAGAUGGAGAAG
This 570-nucleotide long non-coding RNA is filed under the name Chinchilla lanigera (long-tailed chinchilla). RNAcentral describes it as "lncRNA (ENSCLAG00000027966.1)". Lineage: Eukaryota; Metazoa; Chordata; Mammalia; Rodentia; Chinchillidae. The record is from RNAcentral.